This 209-nucleotide long non-coding RNA is filed under the name Homo sapiens (human). RNAcentral describes it as "HSALNT0053973". Lineage: Eukaryota; Metazoa; Chordata; Mammalia; Primates; Hominidae. The record is from RNAcentral.
CACUGGUCUUCUUGUGCUUAUCCGGGCAAGAACUUAUCGAAAUACAAUAGAAGUUUUUACUUAGAAGAGAUUUUCAGUGCUGUGGAUUGGAUUAUGCCAUUUGGAAUAAGAAUGCUGUUAAGAGCACACAAGCCAGGAGAAGUGAAAUGACAACCUCACUAGAUACAGUUGAGACCUUUGGUACCACAUCCUACUAUGAUGACGUGGGC